Molecule: ribosomal RNA, 484 nt
Filed under: uncultured bacterium
Lineage: Bacteria
Description: partial 16S ribosomal RNA
Rfam family: Bacterial small subunit ribosomal RNA
Source: RNAcentral
AUUGAACGCUGGCGGCAGGUCUAACACAUGCAAGUCGAGCGGAUGAAGGGAGCUUGCUCCUGGAUUCAGCGGCGGACGGGUGAGUAAUGCCUAGGAACCUGCCUGGUAGUGGGGGAUAACGUCCGGAAACGGGCGCUAAUACCGCAUACGUCCUGAGGGAGAAAGUGGGGGAUCUUCGGACCUCACGCUAUCAGAUGAGCCUAGGUCGGAUUAGCUAGUUGGUGGGGUAAAGGCCUACCAAGGCGACGAUCCGUAACUGGUCUGAGAGGAUGAUCAGUCACACUGGAACUGAGACACGGUCCAGGCUCCUACGGGAGGCAGCAGUGGGGAAUAUUGGACAAUGGGCGAAAGCCUGAUCCAGCCAUGCCGCGUGUGUGAAGAAGGUCUUCGGAUUGUAAAGCACUUUAAGUUGGGAGGAAGGGCAGUAAGUUAAUACCUUGCUGUUUUGACGUUACCAACAGAAUAAGCACCGGCUAACUUCGUG